RNAcentral lists this ribosomal RNA (518 nucleotides) under Listeria monocytogenes. RNAcentral describes it as "partial 23S ribosomal RNA". It matches the Rfam family "Bacterial large subunit ribosomal RNA", at positions 998 to 1515 of the family's 2925-position model. Lineage: Bacteria; Bacillati; Bacillota; Bacilli; Caryophanales; Listeriaceae. The record is from RNAcentral.
AUAAGAUCCGUAGUCGAAAGGGAAACAGCCCAGACCACCAGUUAAGGUCCCCAAAUAUAUGUUAAGUGGAAAAGGAUGUGGGGUUGCUUAGACAACCAGGAUGUUGGCUUAGAAGCAGCCACCAUUGAAAGAGUGCGUAAUAGCUCACUGGUCGAGUGACCCCGCGCCGAAAAUGUACCGGGGCUAAACAUAUUACCGAAACUGUGGAUGAACCUCUUUAGAGGUUCGUGGUAGGAGAGCGUUCUAAGGGCGGUGAAGUCAGACCGGAAGGACUGGUGGAGCGCUUAGAAGUGAGAAUGCCGGUAUGAGUAGCGAAAGAAGGGUGAGAAUCCCUUCCACCGAAUAUCUAAGGUUUCCUGAGGAAGGCUCGUCCGCUCAGGGUUAGUCGGGACCUAAGCCGAGGCCGAUAGGCGUAGGCGAUGGACAACAGGUAGAGAUUCCUGUACCAGUGCUAAUUGUUUAACCGAUGGGGUGACACAGAAGGAUAGGGAAUCGCACGAAUGGAAAUGUGCGUCCAA